UCGACAUGGCAAAAAGGAGGCAUAUUUGUGCAAUGAACCAACCCUUCGAGCAUAUUCUGCUGAAGCAAAUUAAAAGCUGAAAGCUACAUCUAGCUUCCAUUCAAUGAUAUACAUCAUCAAUUAGCUUGGAAGAAGAUAACUAUCAAGAGGUUGAUUGAAGUCGCUAACUUGCAGAGAAGUGAUGAUAGAACUUAUUCUUCUAAGCUUCUUGAGGACAAGACCUCUACAAGAUUCCAAGCUUAAUAAAUCUCCAUUUAAUCCCUGUCAAAUCACACACCGAUGCAAUAACUUUGCCUGGACCUGAACUGAAGAUAUUAUACAAGAUCUGAUACCUCUAACUGAGACGUCAUCCAACUUGGGUUAUGUUUGUUCAAGUGUUACAAUUUCAACUUGGGUUCUUCAUGGUCUGAUGAGCCUACCAAGGGGGAGCUUGAGUACUGCAGUCCAACAUGUUAUUAUGUCAAAACAUCACCACCUCUACAUGUAAAUUUUUAUGUUGUGAUUUUAUUUGCCGAUAUGAAUGAGGUACUUGAAGAGUAUAUGAUUUAUCAAAUCUGUUAUUGUGGUUAUAGCAACUACAUUUCUCCAAAUUUCAGCUAUCAACCUGUUUUACGUCUUCUACAGGUAUUCUAUUCUUCCCUUUUAUUUUUGGUGCUUUGCUCACAUACUUUGCUUCACAAAAAUCCAGAAUGUUGGAAAAGGUUGACAUGGAA
Molecule: long non-coding RNA, 713 nt
Organism: Zingiber officinale
Lineage: Eukaryota; Viridiplantae; Streptophyta; Magnoliopsida; Zingiberales; Zingiberaceae
Exons: 2
Source: RefSeq, a predicted model, not a curated record